This 2367-nucleotide long non-coding RNA is filed under the name Sus scrofa (pig). Its description in RNAcentral is "lncRNA (ENSSSCG00035016372.1)". Lineage: Eukaryota; Metazoa; Chordata; Mammalia; Artiodactyla; Suidae. The record is from RNAcentral.
UAAUAUUCACUAAUGAACCAUCAACACUUUUCUUGUUAAAACGUUAGAGGUGGAUAUUUUUGUAUACUCAGAGAAGUGCACCAGAGCUUGCAACUCCUAAAAUAUGCCCCUUGGGAGGAUUUUGAGCUAAAGGCAACUGAGAACCAGGGAAGGUGAAAAAAAAAGGCUUCACCUCCCCUGGCAGAAAAGAGAGUACUAAUUUCCCCUUUAGUAAAAGAAAUUUACAUUUAUAAGGGACAUUUCCAACUUUAAUGGUGGUACCAGGAAGAGGGCUACUCCCAGAGAUAACUUUUAUCACCUGAGAGACUCUUUAUCUACAUAACAAGACAACCCUUAUUUACUGCCCACUUCUUCCUCUCAUUCCCAUAACUUGCCUCCCCCACUCAGAAGCCCAAAUCCUUUUUUCCUUUUGUUUAGCCUAAUAUAGUACAUAAAAUAAAAUAAAAAUAAAAUAGUAUAUAAACCUCUAUCAUCUGGUCUCCUAGGAUCUCAUUUUUUUUUUUAAUUCUAUUUUUGGCUUUUUUUUUUUUUUUAGGACCUCACCCUCAGCAUAUGGAAGUUCCCCGGCUAGGGGGUGAAUCUGGGCCAUAGCUCUGAGCCGUGUCUGCAACCUACACCACCAAACAUGGAAAAAAGUUCAGGGCAAUGCCAGAUCCUUAAGCCACUGAGCGAGGCCAGGGAUAGAACCAGCCUCCUCAUGGAUACUAGUUAGGUUCUUUACUCCUGAGCCAAAACGGCAACUCCUAGGGUCUCAUUUCUUCAUAGAAUUUCUAUGCAUACUUAGGUAAUGAAAACCGACCAGGUGUUUUUUUUUUUUUUUGGUUGUUAAUUUGUCUUUUCUCACUUUAAUUUCCAGGGCCCCAACAGGAGAAUCUUGCAGGGGAGAGGGAAACAUUUUUUUCUUUUCCUGAAUUAGAAUCAGCAGCUUUCCAGGUCCUCCCUGUCCGUCUCCACCUGCCUUCUGACCUGGGAGGCUGACCUGAGCGGCCUGAAUCAGCUCUUGGCUGAUGGGGCUCCAGGAAGGGGCAAGGAAUGUGAGGUGAGGGUCUUUGCUUGUGGCUUCCCUACUGGGUCUCUUUUUUUUUUUUUUUUUUUUUUUUUUUUUUNUUUUUUUGUCUUUUUUUGUCUUUUUGUUGUUGUUGUUGCCAUUUCUUGGGCCGCUCCCGCGGCAUAUGGAGGUUCCCAGGCUAGGGGUCCAAUCGGAGCUGUAGCCACCAGCCUACGUCAGAGCCACAGCAACACGGGAUCCGAGCCGCGUCUGCAACCUACACCACAGCUCACGGCAACGCCAGAUCGUUAACCCACUGAGCAAGGGCAGGGACUGAACCCGCAACCUCAUGGUUCCUAGUCGGAUUCGUUAACCACUUCGCCAUGACGGGAACUCCCCUACUGGGUCUCUUAAAGCUGGCAGGAUCCCUGCAUACAAGAAAGAUCCCAACUCCUCUCCAGGAGAGCUUCGCCAGGCAGCUUUUUUUGAGUUCCUCUCUCUGGGUUUUGUUAACCAUUCUCUCACUCACCUCUUAAGGCCCAGGCCACCGCGCCCUCCUGACCCCUUCCUCUGUCCGUCCCUCACUUUGGUACAGAAUCUUUACUUAAUCUGUUGGGACUCUCCUAAUUGGAGCGAGCCAUCUGUUUCCUGUUUCCUGCUGCGAUGUGUCUGACUCAACUCGACACACACUCUUAAUAGAGGCAACCAGAUUGUCACCAGACUGUAGUUGGAAUGAUUUGCUCUGUUGAUCCUGGUGGCUGAACAGCCCAGAUAUACUGGUCUGGCUGACAGGCUCACUGCUCCUGUUUUCAUCACCACAUGGCCCAGCAGCCUCUCAAUUCCCCAUCCCAAGGAAAAAGAAACUUCACGGAUGAACUUAGGGGAACAGUCAUCCUCAGGGGCUUACGAACUGAAACAGUUUGCUUGCUUGCUUUUAAAGUUCAGAUUUGUAUCUCACAAAAACCCUCAUGUUAAAUAAGCGUCUGUGCCAAAGCUAUUUUUAAUAACAGCAUGGGCUGGCGUUCCCACUGCGGCACAGUAGGUUAGGAAUCCAACUGCAGGUGCUCGGGUCACCACGGAGGCGCAGGUUUGAUGACUGGCUUGUGCGGUGGGUUAAAAGAUCCCACAGUGGGUUAAAGGUUGCUGCAGCUGCAGUGUUGGUCACAGCUCUGGCUCAGAUGUAGUCUCUGGCCUGGGAACUCCUAUAUGCUGCAGGUGAGGCCAUUACAAAAAAAAUAGUGUAAGUAGAUGGCGUAAGAGCUAGAUGUGUAUUUCUCCUUGGUGCAUUUUCAAUGCCCAGCAGGCUAUGGAUGAAAUCAUGGCUCUGGUAAUCACACCUUUAAAAUAAAAAAGAGUUUGGAGUUCCCUGAUGCGCUAGC